This 440-nucleotide ribosomal RNA is filed under the name uncultured Shewanella sp. RNAcentral describes it as "bacterial SSU rRNA". It matches the Rfam family "Bacterial small subunit ribosomal RNA", at positions 358 to 790 of the family's 1533-position model. Lineage: Bacteria; Pseudomonadati; Pseudomonadota; Gammaproteobacteria; Alteromonadales; Shewanellaceae. The record is from RNAcentral.
GGAAUAUUGCACAAUGGGGGAAACCCUGAUGCAGCCAUGCCGCGUGUGUGAAGAAGGCCUUCGGGUUGUAAAGCACUUUCAGUAGGGAGGAAAGGGUGAGUCUUAAUACGGCUCAUCUGUGACGUUACCUACAGAAGAAGGACCGGCUAACUCCGUGCCAGCAGCCACGGUAAUACGGAGGGUCCGAGCGUUAAUCGGAAUUACUGGGCGUAAAGCGUGCGCAGGCGGUUUGUUAAGCGAGAUGUGAAAGCCCUGGGCUCAACCUAGGAAUAGCAUUUCGAACUGGCGAACUAGAGUCUUGUAGAGGGGGGUAGAAUUCCAGGUGUAGCGGUGAAAUGCGUAGAGAUCUGGAGGAAUACCGGUGGCGAAGGCGGCCCCCUGGACAAAGACUGACGCUCAUGCACGAAAGCGUGGGGAGCAAACAGGAUUAGAUACCCGAG